RNAcentral lists this long non-coding RNA (266 nucleotides) under Solanum tuberosum (potato). Its description in RNAcentral is "long non-coding RNA (STUB_LNC002825)". The record is from RNAcentral. Lineage: Eukaryota; Viridiplantae; Streptophyta; Magnoliopsida; Solanales; Solanaceae.
GCGGUGGGAUACUGUGUAUAUACGUAUGGGAUGAUGUAUUGUAUUGUGGAUGUUUGGAAGCUGCUGUAAUGUUCAUCUACUGGGUCUCUUUGUUGAUGACAAAGAGUUGGGCCGGGUCGGAGCUAAGGGUGUGGGUUGGAGGGAUUAGUUUAGGAAAUGGAAUUAGGCCCAUUUCUUGGCUGAAAAUAAGGUCAAAUGUGGAUAGGUUUUGCAAAUUAGGAAAUAGUCACAAGAAUUGCAAUUAUGGCCUAUGAAAAUUGACAAGU